CAGCAGCCGCGGUAAUACGAAGGGGGCUAGCGUUGCUCGGAAUGACUGGGCGUAAAGGGCGCGUAGGCGGAUUGUUUAGUUAGGCGUGAAAUUCCUGGGCUUAACCUGGGGACUGCGCUUAAUACAGGCAGUCUAGAGUGAGGAAGAGGGUUGUGGAAUUCCCAGUGUAGAGGUGAAAUUCGUAGAUAUUGGGAAGAACACCGGUGGCGAAGGCGGCAACCUGGUCCUUGACUGACGCUGAGGCGCGAAAGUGUGGGGAGCAAACAGGAUUAGAUACCCCCGUAGUCCCUGUCUCUUAUAC
RNAcentral lists this ribosomal RNA (301 nucleotides) under uncultured bacterium. RNAcentral's name for it is "partial 16S ribosomal RNA". It matches the Rfam family "Bacterial small subunit ribosomal RNA", at positions 509 to 807 of the family's 1533-position model. The record is from RNAcentral.